AAGUAUAUGCAUAUUUUAUAUGUAGAAACUGCGAACGGCUCAUUAAAACAGUUAUAAUCUACUUGACAUUUUUUCUAUAAGGAUAACUACGGAAAAGCUGUAGCUAAUACUUGCUUUAACACUCUUGAUUAAGUUCUUGAGUGUGUACUUGUUAAGCCUUUUAAGAAAAAAGUUAUUAACUUAAGGAAUUAUAACAAAGAAGCAACACGUAAAUCGAUUUUCCAUUUUUUAGUGUGUAUCAAUCGAGUUUCUGACCUAUCAGCUUUUGAUGUUAGGGUAUUGGCCUAACAUGGCUAUGACGGGUAACGGGGAAUUAGAGUUCGAUUCCGGAGAGGGAGCCUGAGAAAUAGCUACCACAUCUAAGGAAGGCAGCAGGCGCGUAAAUACCCAAUUCUAAAGAAGAGAGGUAGUGACAAGAAAUAACAAUACAAGGCCAAUCUGGCUUUGUAAUUGGAAUGAUGGGAAUUUAAAACCUUCCCAAAACUCAAUUGGAGGGCAAGUCUGGUGCCAGCAGCCGCGGUAAUUCCAGCUCCAAUAGCGUAUAUUAAAAUUGUUGCAGUUAAAACGCUCGUAGUUGAAUUUCAAAGAAUCGAUAUUUUAAGUAGCACUUUGUAGAUUAAUCCACAUAACUGAUACUACGUAUCGACUUUGUGCGCAUUUUUCUACUUAUGUGUUCUUUUAAUUAAAAUGAUUCUUUUUAAGAUCUUUCUUUUUUGCUUCGGCAUUUUAGGAGAUCUUGUUACUUUGAGUAAAUUAGAGUGUUCAAAGCAAACAGAUUAUAGCAUCUUUAUGCGUUUGAAUACUACAGCAUGGAAUAACAAAAUUGAACAAGUCAGAAUUUUGUUCUUUUUUCUUAUUUUGGCUUAGUUACGAUUAAUAGGAGUAGCUUGGGGGCAUUUGUAUUCAGAUGUCAGAGGUGAAAUUCUUAGAUUUUCUGGAGACAAACAACUGCGAAAGCAUUUGCCUAAAAUACUUCCAUUAAUCAAGAACGAAAGUUAAGGGAGUGAAGACGAUCAGAUACCGUCGUAAUCUUAACCAUAAACUAUGCCGACUAGGCUUUGGAUGAAAGAUUUUAAAAUAAGAGUUUUUUCUCUGAGGAGUUAAAACUCUUAGAUUGCUUCCUUCAGUGCCUUAUGAGAAAUCAAAGUCUUUGGGUUCUGGGGCGAGUAUCGCGCAGCGAGAAAGUUAAAGAUUGACGGAAGGGCACCACCAGGCGUGGAGCUUGCGGCUUAAUUUGACUCAACACGGGAAAACUCACUAGUUUAAGACAAGAGUAGGAUUGACAGAUUAAUAGCUCUUUCUUGAUUUCUUGGAUGGUGAUGCAUGGCCGUUUUUAGUUCGUGAAUAUGAUUUGUCUGGUUAAUUCCGAUAACGAACGAGAUCUUAACCUGCUAAUUAGCGGCAAAUACGAUAUAUUCUUAUGUGGAAUUGAAUAUAGUUGAUUUGCUUAUUUUGAAGAAAAUAUUGGGAUACGUAAAUGUAUCCCUUUCCCUUUUCUACUUAAUUUGCUUAUCAUACUAUUUCUUUUUUGCGUAAGAAUGUAUUUGCUUGAUUGUAAAGCUUCUUAGAGGAACGAUGUGUGUCUAACACAAG
This 1593-nucleotide ribosomal RNA is filed under the name Plasmodium inui. RNAcentral's name for it is "SSU rRNA". It matches the Rfam family "Eukaryotic small subunit ribosomal RNA", at positions 61 to 1439 of the family's 1831-position model. Lineage: Eukaryota; Apicomplexa; Aconoidasida; Haemosporida; Plasmodiidae. The record is from RNAcentral.